Molecule: ribosomal RNA, 1372 nt
Filed under: uncultured bacterium
Lineage: Bacteria
Description: bacterial SSU rRNA
Rfam family: Bacterial small subunit ribosomal RNA
Source: RNAcentral
GAUGAACGCUGGCGGCGUGCCUAAUACAUGCAAGUCGAGCGAACGGACGAGAAGCUUGCUUCUCUGAUGUUAGCGGCGGACGGGUGAGUAACACGUGGAUAACCUACCUAUAAGACUGGGAUAACUUCGGGAAACCGGAGCUAAUACCGGAUAAUAUUUUGAACCGCAUGGUUCAAAAGUGAAAGACGGUCUUGCUGUCACUUAUAGAUGGAUCCGCGCUGCAUUAGCUAGUUGGUAAGGUAACGGCUUACCAAGGCAACGAUGCAUAGCCGACCUGAGAGGGUGAUCGGCCACACUGGAACUGAGACACGGUCCAGACUCCUACGGGAGGCAGCAGUAGGGAAUCUUCCGCAAUGGGCGAAAGCCUGACGGAGCAACGCCGCGUGAGUGAUGAAGGUCUUCGGAUCGUAAAACUCUGUUAUUAGGGAAGAACAUAUGUGUAAGUAACUGUGCACAUCUUGACGGUACCUAAUCAGAAAGCCACGGCUAACUACGUGCCAGCAGCCGCGGUAAUACGUAGGUGGCAAGCGUUAUCCGGAAUUAUUGGGCGUAAAGCGCGCGUAGGCGGUUUUUUAAGUCUGAUGUGAAAGCCCACGGCUCAACCGUGGAGGGUCAUUGGAAACUGGAAAACUUGAGUGCAGAAGAGGAAAGUGGAAUUCCAUGUGUAGCGGUGAAAUGCGCAGAGAUAUGGAGGAACACCAGUGGCGAAGGCGACUUUCUGGUCUGUAACUGACGCUGAUGUGCGAAAGCGUGGGGAUCAAACAGGAUUAGAUACCCUGGUAGUCCACGCCGUAAACGAUGAGUGCUAAGUGUUAGGGGGUUUCCGCCCCUUAGUGCUGCAGCUAACGCAUUAAGCACUCCGCCUGGGGAGUACGACCGCAAGGUUGAAACUCAAAGGAAUUGACGGGGACCCGCACAAGCGGUGGAGCAUGUGGUUUAAUUCGAAGCAACGCGAAGAACCUUACCAAAUCUUGACAUCCUUUGACAACUCUAGAGAUAGAGCUUUCCCCUUCGGGGGACAAAGUGACAGGUGGUGCAUGGUUGUCGUCAGCUCGUGUCGUGAGAUGUUGGGUUAAGUCCCGCAACGAGCGCAACCCUUAAGCUUAGUUGCCAUCAUUAAGUUGGGCACUCUAAGUUGACUGCCGGUGACAAACCGGAGGAAGGUGGGGAUGACGUCAAAUCAUCAUGCCCCUUAUGAUUUGGGCUACACACGUGCUACAAUGGACAAUACAAAGGGCAGCGAAACCGCGAGGUCAAGCAAAUCCCAUAAAGUUGUUCUCAGUUCGGAUUGUAGUCUGCAACUCGACUACAUGAAGCUGGAAUUGCUAGUAAUCGUAGAUCAGCAUGCUACGGUGAAUACGUUCCCGGGUCU